CGUUGUGAGAGCAGUGUGUUUACAGGUUUGUUGGGUUGCACAUUGUCGUGCAGUCGUUCCCAGAGGAACAAUGCUGGUCCUCUCCCCUCAGCGCAGUAUGCUGUGUGUAAACAACGUGGAUGGGAGCACUCGUAGGGACAAACAGAAGGACACGAUUCUGAGAGUAAAUAGACGGUCCAUCACCACGUCGACUUUUCAUCCUCCCAGGCGAUGGUUCAUUUCCAUUCCAGCGGCGAUGAGAGAGCGACAUGACAGAGCAAGGCAUCGCUCCAGCACUCCCAGGGCCAGAUCUCCUCGGUGAUAACAUCAACACACCUGCGAAACCACGUCGACCGAGCCGCUCAUCCGACGGUGUUUAGACUGGCCGUGAGAAAAUGACAGCCGCAGCCGUGAGCAUUACCGCACAGGCUCUCCGUCAUCACCGCUGAGAAGACUCUGUGUGGGUGUCAGUUAAGAAGUACAUGUAAGAAAAGCAGCCAGUGCAUUGUUAUAAGUGGAGUGUACUCACUGUUACGAGUGGUCUAUUGAGUCGAACAUUCGGGCUGCAGAAGUCCAAGCACUAUUUUGAGGUUGGUGUUUUGGUAUUCACUUUUUAUAUCAUAUUUUAUUUUUUUUAUUAUAUAUAUUUUUUACAAAUUCUGAUAAAAAAGGAAUGUGUUGAACUUGGACUUGCAGAUGGAUUUGAUAAACACUGAUGUUAUAUUGUGUGAUGUGGAUGUAAACAGCACACGUGCUCACUUUUGAAUGCAGUUUACCCUUAACUGUUGCCCCAGAACUCUGAAUCGAUUCCUUUCCGAUUUGCACUAAUAGCUGUUAUCAUUCGGGUGAUGCAACACAAUGUCAAAUCACGGUCAGUCAAUGUUGAAAUAAAUCCAGAAACUCG
This is a long non-coding RNA of Gadus morhua (Atlantic cod), 883 nucleotides long. RefSeq lists it as uncharacterized. Lineage: Eukaryota; Metazoa; Chordata; Actinopteri; Gadiformes; Gadidae. The record is from RefSeq and is a predicted model, not a curated record. The transcript has 2 exons.